ACUUUUGACUGGUACUCUACUUUUGGUCAUGUAGUGUAACUAGCUAGAUACACGUUACCUAAAUAUCCAUGCGCUGGUGGGCUGACGUUAGCUAGAAUGUCACCACGUGGAAAAGUGUGACUACGUGAACGGUGAGCUAGCAUUAAUUAACUAGCUGGCUAGCUAUUGUAGCUCACACAGGACUUGUUGGCUCAAUGUUUCCCAUAGAAAACACAUGGUUUUGUUCCACGAGUGCAUAUGUUGCACAUGAUUUAAACAAAUUCCCUGUGAAAUCAGUUAUACAUGUCAGCAGGGAUGGAAAUUAAGCUAGCCCGAGGCUAAUAUUUUUCCGACUGGGCUAGUAGAAAAUGGGCCAAACUAGCUUGACACAGCAGUAACAUUUUGCCUUUACAAACAUCAAAUACCACAGAAUUUAGGACCUGAAUGUUACCCGUGCUAGUAGAAAUCACGGACUGCUGGCCAUUGCCCCAAAUCCCUGCAUGUCAGUCCCUUUCAGACACCCCCCCCCCCCCCAUCACUGUUGAUCCUCCUUAGUGACCUCACGGCUUAGGGUUUUAACUUUCCACUUGAGAAUUAGAAUCAGAAGUACAGUAGUAUAGCUCAUCGCAAUACUUCACCUCAUUGGGCAAAUAGUACCCUAGACUGUCCUGUCAGGGGAUUGGACCGGAAACCCAGUGACAACACUCGGAUCUGCAGUUACCAUUUUCAUGAUGGGAAAGAGAAAUGGCCCUGUAUUUACCAGACAAGGUGUCUCAUCCACCAUGGCAGAAGAGGAAGAUCCAGACUGUUAAUUUCGGAGGAAAUAACAAACAAUGGGGCAUGAGGAUUGGGAGAUGAGGGACAACUUGUCACAUUGUCCAAGUCCCAACAGGAGAGGUUCCCUCAGACCAUCCGGUGCAUAGACAUCCUGUUCCAGUGUGAUCCGAGAGCGAGCGUCCAGUUUUAGAGACUACAGCAGAUCGAGCCUGUGGACGGACAGACAUGAGGCGUGACAUGCGGAACAUCAGGCUCCACCCACGAGAAGCAUGAUCAAUGUCACCCUCAGCAAGGUGAUCUGCUGGAAGUGAUGUACUCUCUCACUCUGGGGGUACAGGCAGGGACGACUGGGGCCUUCAGCAAGUAAGACACGGGGUACGAAAUAAUUUGAACAUCACAGAUAUAAAUUCCCACUGUGCCCAUGAUAAAGUUAACUACAUUACUUUAGUUGGCUGCUUUGAGCAAAACUUCUAGGAGCCUUGUGUGUGAACUAUGUGGAAUAUCUUUGGACCAUUGUCUUCCCUGAAAACGGGUACUGACAGCAGGAGCAAUAUGUGUCUGUCAGAGGUUGUUACGCUGGAUGGGGACGGAUGCUUUGGUGGUCUAAACAAUGAAGAAGCAGGUGUCGCUUCCAGGGAUGUGGAGCUGACCUUUGACCUGGUGCCUGUAAGGAUGGUCUUUACAGAGGCGGUAAGAUCCUCCCUCCUUGAUAUAGAAAUAAUUUCAACUUCACUGCCUCCUCAACGGUAAGAUCCCUUGCAUCAUAGGGAUCUACCAUACCUACCAGACCAUCCAAUGAGGCACCCAGGAUCCCAGACCUCGUGACCCAAAGCCCUGACUCCUGCACAUCCAUCCCUGUAGCCAUUUUGAAUGCCUUGAUGCCCUCCUUUUUGUUAUCUCUGCCCCACUUUACAGACAUCACACCCAUCCAAUGACUGUGAUCUGAGGACCCAUUUUAGCAGCGACGGAGUAACGCGCUUGGAUCUAACUGCUCCGUAAUUGCUGGCCGUCAACCUCCCUCUCCUCAUGGUGUGCCAUGUUGGGGUUGCUGUGCUGUCCAACUGACAGCGCCAUGCCAACCAGGAUGCCUGCAUGCCGCAGGUGCCUUUGUUAUUAUUUUUUUAACAAUGUCUGGUACAGACUGGGAUGACAGGGAGGGUAGCGGUUGUUCUGGCUCAGGUUCAAGGAGCCAUGCCAUUCCACUGAACCUGCCCCGGAGACGGUUCCUUAGCCACUGAAGAUCGUGCUCUGUGGGCUUUCGGGACAGAGGGUUGUAGUCUUCGGCCAGGUACAGAUCCCCCACUGAGUGCAACUGGUUGGGCCACUGCUGGCUUCCUCCACUGGCAUUCCACAUCAGUACGGCCGAUAUUGUGAACCGUUAAAAUAGGCUGCAUGGCUACACUGGUGAUCUACAUGGGGUCAUUCUCAUGUGGUAGAGAGAAUUCUCCUAUUUCUCCUAUUUACUUAACUUUCCAUUGCAGAAUAUAUUCCUCACCUUUUCUGGUCGCGACGGGUUCAUAUUCCCGAAGGAGCCGUUCAACAAAUUACCAUGUACAUCUCUCAUUUAAUUGGACCAAGUAGGCUACGAAAUAGAUCAAUUAUAUGUAUUUGAAGUUUUGCAAUAUCAUAGGCAGCGCGGUAUAUAAUAUCGGUAUACAGUCACAUUUAACAGCAGAUCUUUUAUAUUGAAGUCGCCUAUGUACUGUAUCAAGUUAGUUUCUAGUUUUUAUUGUCGCGUGCACAAGUACAGUGAAAUGCCUUUUUCUUGCUCGCUCAUUCCCGGCAAUCCAGCCUGGGAGACGCACAAUUGGCCCAGCGUCGUCCGGGUUUGGCCGAUAUAGGCCUUCAUUGUAAAUAAGAAUUUGUUCUUGACUGACUUGCCUAGUUAAAUAAAGGUUAAAAAAUGUAAACAAUUUAGCAAUGGACAUCAGUAGUACUGUAAAGACAUAUAUACAAAGUCAACUAGAAGAGAAAUAAAAUUAAAAUAAAACUGUGACUACUGUAAGUACUGUAAUUGAAAAAACAAUGUGCCCUAUAACAUUUCAGAAUUCGUGGGCCAUCAUCAUAUUUAGGUUGGGGUAAAAGUUGAUAUAAAACUUUCUACUAACUUUCUGCUUAAAUAAAGGUGAAAUAUAUAUUUUUAAACUGACACAACAAUUUGCCUUGAUUCUGUCGUUCAGAAACUGACAGUCAUUUUCCAAAUACAGUGUAAACUACUGCAAAGAUUAAAACAUUCUGUCAACAACGUAAAUAGACAAGUCAUUUAUGUAAAAUUGUUUAAAUCAAAUAAAAUUGUAUUGGUCACAUACACAUAUUUAGCAGGUGUUAUUAGCCACCAUAAUCCUGGCUGCUGACUCUGUGACCUAGCCACCAUAAUCCUGGCUGCUGACUCUGUGACCUAGCCACCAUAAUCCUGGCUGCUGACUCUGUGACCUAGCCACCAUA
Non-coding RNA from Salvelinus sp. IW2-2015, 3201 nucleotides. The record is from RefSeq and is a predicted model, not a curated record. Lineage: Eukaryota; Metazoa; Chordata; Actinopteri; Salmoniformes; Salmonidae.